AGAGUUUGAUCCUGGCUCAGGAUGAACGCUGGCGGCGUGCUUAACACAUGCAAGUCGAACGGGGUACCCUUGAAGGAGGCUUCGGCCAACAGAUAGGAAUACCUAGUGGCGGACGGGUGAGUAACGCGUGAGGAACCUGCCUUGGAGUGGGGAAUAACAGUUAGAAAUAGCUGCUAAUACCGCAUAAUGCAAUGGAGUCGCAUGGCUCUGUUGCCAAAGAUUUAUCGCUCUGAGAUGGCCUCGCGUCUGAUUAGAUAGUUGGCGGGGUAACGGCCCACCAAGUCGACGAUCAGUAGCCGGACUGAGAGGUUGGCCGGCCACAUUGGGACUGAGACACGGCCCAGACUCCUACGGGAGGCAGCAGUGGGGAAUAUUGGGCAAUGGGCGCAAGCCUGACCCAGCAACGCCGCGUGAAGGAAGAAGGCCCUCGGGUUGUAAACUUCUUUUAACAGGGACGAAGAAAGUGACGGUACCUGUUGAAUAAGCCACGGCUAACUACGUG
RNAcentral lists this ribosomal RNA (502 nucleotides) under uncultured Oscillibacter sp. RNAcentral describes it as "bacterial SSU rRNA". It matches the Rfam family "Bacterial small subunit ribosomal RNA", at positions 8 to 507 of the family's 1533-position model. The record is from RNAcentral. Lineage: Bacteria; Bacillati; Bacillota; Clostridia; Eubacteriales; Oscillospiraceae.